Molecule: ribosomal RNA, 301 nt
Filed under: uncultured bacterium
Lineage: Bacteria
Description: partial 16S ribosomal RNA
Rfam family: Bacterial small subunit ribosomal RNA
Source: RNAcentral
CAGUAGCCGCGGUAAUACGUAGGUGGCAAGCGUUGUCCGGAAUUAUUGGGCGUAAAGGGCUCGCAGGCGGUUUCUUAAGUCUGAUGUGAAAGCCCCCGGCUCAACCGGGGAGGGUCAUUGGAAACUGGGAAACUUGAGUGCAGAAGAGGAGAGUGGAAUUCCGCGUGUAGCGGUGAAAUGCGUAGAGAUGUGGAGGAACACCAGUGGCGAAGGCGACUCUCUGGCCUGUAACUGACGCUGAGGAGCGAAAGCGUGGGGAGCGAACAGGAUUAGAUACCCCCGUAGUCCCUGUCUCUUAUAA